Molecule: ribosomal RNA, 492 nt
Filed under: uncultured bacterium
Lineage: Bacteria
Description: partial 16S ribosomal RNA
Rfam family: Bacterial small subunit ribosomal RNA
Source: RNAcentral
AGUGAACGCUGGCGGUAGGCCUAACACAUGCAAGUCGAACGGCAGCACAGUAAGAGCUUGCUCUUACGGGUGGCGAGUGGCGGACGGGUGAGGAAUACAUCGGAAUCUACUUUUUCGUGGGGGAUAACGUAGGGAAACUUACGCUAAUACCGCAUACGACUUACGGGUGAAAGCAGGGGAUCUUCGGACCUUGCGCGAUUGAAUGAGCCGAUGUCGGAUUAGCUGGUUGGCGGGGUAAAGGCCCACCAAGGCGACGAUCCGUAGCUGGUCUGAGAGGAUGAUCAGCCACACUGGAACUGAGACACGCUCCAGACUCCUACGGGAGGCAGCAGUGUGGAAUAUUGGACAAUGGGCGCAAGCCUGAUCCAGCCAUACCACGUGGGUGAAGAAGGCCUUCGGGUUGUAAAGCCCUUUUGUUGGGAAAGAAAAGCAGCAGGUUAAUACCCCGCUGUUCUGACGGUACCCAAAGAAUAAGCACCGGCUAACUUCGUG